This 253-nucleotide unclassified non-coding RNA is filed under the name uncultured Nitriliruptoraceae bacterium. Its description in RNAcentral is "contains 16S-23S intergenic spacer region". It matches the Rfam family "Bacterial small subunit ribosomal RNA", at positions 524 to 776 of the family's 1533-position model. Lineage: Bacteria; Bacillati; Actinomycetota; Nitriliruptoria; Nitriliruptorales; Nitriliruptoraceae. The record is from RNAcentral.
UACGUAGGGGGCGAGCGUUGUCCGGAAUCAUUGGGCGUAAAGCGCGUGUAGGCGGCCCGGCAAGUCGGAUGUGAAAGCCCGGAGCUCAACUCCGGAGCUGCAUCCGAUACUGGCGGGCUUGAGGCAGGGAGAGGAGAGUGGAAUUCCCGGUGUAGCGGUGGAAUGCGCAGAUAUCGGGAGGAACACCAGCGGCGAAGGCGGCUCUCUGGGCCUGUCCUGACGCUGAGACGCGAAAGCAUGGGGAGCGAACAGG